AACGAACGCUGGCGGCGUGCUUAACGCAUGCAAGUCGAACGGAAAGGCCCUGCUUUUGUGGGGUGCUCGAGUGGCGAACGGGUGAGUAACACGUGAGUAACCUGCCCUUGACUUUGGGAUAACUUCAGGAAACUGGGGCUAAUACCGGAUAGGAGCUCCUGCUGCAUGGUGGGGGUUGGAAAGUUUCGGCGGUUGGGGAUGGACUCGCGGCUUAUCAGCUUGUUGGUGGGGUAGUGGCUUACCAAGGCUUUGACGGGUAGCCGGCCUGAGGGGGUGACCGGCCACAUUGGGACUGAGAUACGGCCCAGACUCCUACGGGAGGCAGCAGUGGGGAAUAUUGCACAAUGGGCGGAAGCCUGAUGCAGCAACGCCGCGUGCGGGAUGACGGCCUUCGGGUUGUAAACCGCUUUCGCCUGUGACGAAGCGUGAGUGACGGUAAUGGGUAAAGAAGCACCGGCUAACUACGUG
RNAcentral lists this ribosomal RNA (468 nucleotides) under uncultured bacterium. Its description in RNAcentral is "partial 16S ribosomal RNA". It matches the Rfam family "Bacterial small subunit ribosomal RNA", at positions 28 to 507 of the family's 1533-position model. The record is from RNAcentral.